GUUUUUUUUUUUUUUUUUUUUUUUUUUUUUUUUUUUUUUCCUCUGUUC
Molecule: non-coding RNA, 48 nt
Filed under: Prorocentrum micans
Lineage: Eukaryota; Dinophyceae; Prorocentrales; Prorocentraceae
Source: RNAcentral